This is a long non-coding RNA of Felis catus (domestic cat), 757 nucleotides long. RefSeq lists it as uncharacterized. Lineage: Eukaryota; Metazoa; Chordata; Mammalia; Carnivora; Felidae. The transcript is spliced from 3 exons. The record is from RefSeq and is a predicted model, not a curated record.
CCCACCUGCACAGGCUGAAUUCCCUCCUUUGGUCCUUAAAGACCUUCUGUUUUCCGUGAUUGGCCCGGGCCGGGGCAGGCCUAGACUUAAAGGGACUGCGCCCUCCAGGGGCAGGCGGGAGGGAAGUGACCUGUGGAGUUUGUAGCGGAGUUGGACCACUAAAAAAUUCCAGGGUUCUAUUUGGCGCUGGAAGGAAUUUAGAAGGCCCCUGGCCUGGUCCUGGUCAUCUGCUAUUUUCAGAAGCCCAGAGAGAUUGCGCCACUUGUUCGACUCCACACAGCGCUCCUCCUGCUCUUCCAGAGUUGAAGAAAGGCAGGAGGACUGCAGAGGUGCUGAGCCAAUCCCUCUCCAGGCCUGCUCCGCUUGGGGCGCAGGGGCCUGUGAGUCUAGGGCUGAGCCAGGGCCUGUGUGUAGAUGGAGCUUCACAUUUACUCCAGCUACACGGCCACCCGUUCUCUUCUGGAAGCCUGCUCCUGCCCCUACGUCUUGGAGCCCACAACUGCCCCCUGAUCUCUGCGCAUCUGGCUGCUCAUCCUUCCAGCCUCAGCCCGAAGAGGCCUCCCCUGACCUCUCCCUCUGAAGGGCUCCUCUCUCUGUUUCGGCCCUCUCACAUUUCAGGCCCUGCAGUUGCCUCAUCUAUGGAUGUGUUACCGGUUUGACUCUCUUCCCCACUAGAUUGUAAGCCCCAUGGGCCAGGGACCUCAUCCUCUGCUAUAUUGGCACCUGGUUGGUGCCGAAUAAAUGGAUAUGGAAUCAA